RNAcentral lists this ribosomal RNA (293 nucleotides) under uncultured eukaryote. Its description in RNAcentral is "partial 18S ribosomal RNA". It matches the Rfam family "Eukaryotic small subunit ribosomal RNA", at positions 6 to 273 of the family's 1831-position model. The record is from RNAcentral.
GGUUGAUCCUGCCAGUAGCCAUAUGCUUGUUUAAAGGAUUAAGCCAUGCAUGUGUAAGUAUUAAUGAGAUUUUAAUAGUGAAACUGCGAAUGGCUCAAUAAAACAGUUAUAGUUUAUUCGAUGAUAUUAAAAAGUUUAUUUGGAAUAACCGCAGUAAUUCUGGGGCUAAUACAUGCUUAAAAGGGAAAUAUUUCUUCAAAGGAUAUUUUACCUGUAUUUAUUAGACUUGAAAAUUGGUAAUGUAGUAAUACAUUUCUUAAAAGGUUGAACCAUAAUAACUAUGUUGUAACAAA